Molecule: ribosomal RNA, 329 nt
Filed under: Streptococcus agalactiae
Lineage: Bacteria; Bacillati; Bacillota; Bacilli; Lactobacillales; Streptococcaceae
Description: bacterial SSU rRNA
Rfam family: Bacterial small subunit ribosomal RNA
Source: RNAcentral
GCCUCAUAGCGGGGGAUAACUAUUGGAAACGAUAGCUAAUACCGCAUAAGAGUGAUUAACACAUGUUAGUUAUUUAAAAGGAGCAAUUGCUUCACUGUGAGAUGGACCUGCGUUGUAUUAGCUAGUUGGUGAGGUAAAGGCUCACCAAGGCGACGAUACAUAGCCGACCUGAGAGGGUGAUCGGCCACACUGGGACUGAGACACGGCCCAGACUCCUACGGGAGGCAGCAGUAGGGAAUCUUCGGCAAUGGACGGAAGUCUGACCGAGCAACGCCGCGUGAGUGAAGAAGGUUUUCGGAUCGUAAAGCUCUGUUGUUAGAGAAGAACGU